GUCGACGAGUUCUCGUUGAUGAUCGGUGCUUGCACUGAGAUUCAACAUGGAACGAGUGGCGGACGGGUGAGUAACACGUGGGUAACCUGCCCUUAAGUGGGGGAUAACAUUUGGAAACAGAUGCUAAUACCGCAUAGAUCCAAGAACCGCAUGGUUCUUGGCUGAAAGAUGGCGUAAGCUAUCGCUUUUGGAUGGACCCGCGGCGUAUUAGCUAGUUGGUGAGGUAAUGGCUCACCAAGGCGAUGAUACGUAGCCGAACUGAGAGGUUGAUCGGCCACAUUGGGACUGAGACACGGCCCAAACUCCUACGGGAGGCAGCAGUAGGGAAUCUUCCACAAUGGACGCAAGUCUGAUGGAGCAACGCCGCGUGAGUGAAGAAGGCUUUCGGGUCGUAAAACUCUGUUGUUGGAGAAGAAUGGUCGGCAGAGUAACUGUUGUCGGCGUGACGGUAUCCAACCAGAAAGCCACGGCUAACUACGUGCCAGCAGCCGCGGUAAUACGUAGGUGGCAAGCGUUAUCCGGAUUUAUUGGGCGUAAAGCGAGCGCAGGCGGUUUUUUAAGUCUGAUGUGAAAGCCCUCGGCUUAACCGAGGAAGCGCAUCGGAAACUGGGAAACUUGAGUGCAGAAGAGGACAGUGGAACUCCAUGUGUAGCGGUGAAAUGCGUAGAUAUAUGGAAGAACACCAGUGGCGAAGGCGGCUGUCUGGUCUGUAACUGACGCUGAGGCUCGAAAGCAUGGGUAGCGAACAGGAUUAGAUACCCUGGUAGUCCAUGCCGUANACGAUGAAUGCUAGGUGUUGGAGGGUUCCCGCCCUUCAGUGCCGCAGCUAACGCAUUAAGCAUUCCGCCUGGGGAGUACGACCGCAAGGUUGAAACUCAAAGGA
This 883-nucleotide ribosomal RNA is filed under the name uncultured bacterium. RNAcentral describes it as "bacterial SSU rRNA". It matches the Rfam family "Bacterial small subunit ribosomal RNA", at positions 61 to 908 of the family's 1533-position model. The record is from RNAcentral.